This is a microRNA precursor of Oryza sativa Indica Group (long-grained rice), 203 nucleotides long. It matches the Rfam family "MIR812 microRNA precursor family". The record is from Rfam. Lineage: Eukaryota; Viridiplantae; Streptophyta; Magnoliopsida; Poales; Poaceae.
AAUAAAUACAGUUUUGCACAGUUCAUGUCCAACGUUUAACCGUUCGUCUUAUUUAAAACUUUUCUAUGAUUAGUAUUUUUAUUAUUAUUAGAUGAUAAAACAUAAAUAGUAGUUUAUAUGUGACUAUUUUUUAAAAUUUUUUUUAUAAAUUUAUUAAAUAAGACGGACGGUUAAACGUUGAAUACGGAUAUCCACGACCUAUA